UGGGAACGUACCUUUCGGUUCAGGAUAACCCAGGGAAACUUGGGCUAAUACCGGAUACGUCCUUAGGGAGAAAGAUUGAUUUGCCGAGAGAUCGGCCCGCGUCUGAUUAGCUAGUUGGUGAGGUAAAACUCACCAAGGCGACGAUCAGUAGCUGGUCUGAGAGGAUGAUCAGCCACACUGGGACUGAGACACGGCCCAGACCUCCUACGGGAGGCAG
RNAcentral lists this ribosomal RNA (217 nucleotides) under uncultured bacterium. Its description in RNAcentral is "partial 16S ribosomal RNA". It matches the Rfam family "Bacterial small subunit ribosomal RNA", at positions 118 to 351 of the family's 1533-position model. The record is from RNAcentral.